GCCAUGGUGGUGCAGUGGUUAAGCACCCAGCUGCUAAUUCAAAGGUUGGUGGUUCGAACCCACCCUAUGGCU
This 72-nucleotide transfer RNA is filed under the name Loxodonta africana (African savanna elephant). It matches the Rfam family "tRNA". From Rfam's summary of the family: Transfer RNA (tRNA) molecules are approximately 80 nucleotides in length. Their secondary structure includes four short double-helical elements and three loops (D, anti-codon, and T loops). Lineage: Eukaryota; Metazoa; Chordata; Mammalia; Proboscidea; Elephantidae. The record is from Rfam by way of RNAcentral.